This 253-nucleotide ribosomal RNA is filed under the name uncultured bacterium. Its description in RNAcentral is "partial 16S ribosomal RNA". It matches the Rfam family "Bacterial small subunit ribosomal RNA", at positions 524 to 776 of the family's 1533-position model. The record is from RNAcentral.
UACGUAGGAUGCAAGCGUUGUCCGGAAUUACUGGGCGUAAAGGGCGAGCAGGUGGCACUACAAGUCUGAUGUAAAAUCUCCCGGCUUAACUGGGAGGGGCCAUUGGAAACUGUAGAGCUGGAGUGCAGGAGAGGCUAACGGAAUUCCCGGUGUAGUGGUGAAAUGCGUAGAUAUCGGGAGGAGCACCAGUGGCGAAGGCGGUUAGCUGGCCUGUAACUGACACUGAGGCGCGAAGGCUAGGGGAGCGAACAGG